This 253-nucleotide ribosomal RNA is filed under the name uncultured prokaryote. RNAcentral's name for it is "partial 16S ribosomal RNA". It matches the Rfam family "Bacterial small subunit ribosomal RNA", at positions 524 to 776 of the family's 1533-position model. The record is from RNAcentral.
UACGUAGGGUCCGAGCGUUAAUCGGAAUUACUGGGCGUAAAGCGUGCGCAGGCGGUCUCGCAAGUCCGAUGUGAAAUCCCCGAGCUUAACUUGGGAACUGCGUUGGAAACUAUGAGGCUAGAGUGCGGCAGAGGGGGGUGGAAUUCCAGGUGUAGCAGUGAAAUGCGUAGAUAUCUGGAGGAACACCGAUGGCGAAGGCAGCCCCCUGGGCCAGCACUGACGCUGAUUCACGAAAGCGUGGGGAGCAAACAGG